Long non-coding RNA from Glycine soja, 339 nucleotides. RefSeq lists it as uncharacterized. NCBI's taxonomy places the organism in Eukaryota, Viridiplantae, Streptophyta, Magnoliopsida, Fabales, Fabaceae. The transcript has 3 exons. The record is from RefSeq and is a predicted model, not a curated record.
AUGUUUCAAAUCAUCAGAGUUUUCUAGACAUAUAUACUCUUCUUACUUUAGGAAGAAGCUUUAAGUUCAUAAGCAAGACUGGGAUAUUCCUCUUUCCAAUAAUUGGGUGGGCGAUGUUUCUUUUGGGCAUAAUUCCUUUGAAGCGCAUGGACAGCCGAAGUCAGCUGGACUGCCUUAAACGAUGCAUGGAUCUUAUCAAGAAAGGAGCCUCUGUUUUUUUCUUUCCAGAGGGAACACGCAGUAAAGAUGGAAGAAUAGGCACAUUCAAGAGGAGGUUCUGUGGCCAGUGAAUUCAUCAUUUCGGCUCAACUAAGGUGAUCAAGAGUAUGUAUUUGUUUG